RNAcentral lists this long non-coding RNA (4609 nucleotides) under Vitis vinifera (wine grape). RNAcentral's name for it is "long non-coding RNA (VVIN_LNC005526)". Lineage: Eukaryota; Viridiplantae; Streptophyta; Magnoliopsida; Vitales; Vitaceae. The record is from RNAcentral.
UGACCAAGAUCUUGUGGUGCGUAGAGAUCUAUUCAGUCACAGACAGUGGCAGUAUGUUUGGGUUUUCAUUUCUGCUGAACUCUGUCUGCACCAUUGUAGUUCAAGAUAAAAUAUGUUAGUUUACAGUCUAGUGCUAAUUUAAAGAUGAAUUUUUCAUAUUUGUGAAUAAAAAUUUGAGCUGUAGUUGGAUUAAAAUGUAAUGGAACUCAAAUAAUGUUAUGUCUAUGCUUCUGGAUGCCUUAAUGGUUGACUGGCAAGCCCUUUGGAAAAGACAUUAUUCCAUAUGUCUGUGGGAAAUGCUUCUAGUGGAUUUUUUGGUAUCCUAUAUACAGGUUGGUUAACCUAUAAUCAGUCUAUAUACGAUUUACUGGUUCUGUUGUUUGUAUUCAACGCGACCAAUCUCUACUACUUUUUUCCAAGGAUGGGAAUAUACUUUCUGUUUUUUGGUUGAUCUUUUGAAUAAGUUUUUAUUUUUAUUCCUUAUUUUUUGUGCUUAGACUUGAAUGCAUUAGUAGCCAAGUAUUACUGAAUUGUUUGUUUCUCCUAUUUAUCAUUGGGAGGACUGUAAAAGUAAUGCUUAACAUGUAAUUUUUAUUUGCAUUCUGUGCAAUAUUUGUAUGUUUUGGGUGCAUAUUGAAAAAGUUAUCAUCUAUGUUGUGUUUGAAUUAUUCAUAGCAUCUUUUACCGGAUGAUAAAUGGGGCCAGUUUCCUCUCAUCUGUGGCUUUAGGCAGCUUUCGGUUGAGAUUGUCAAGAACCUAGUUAGCUCAAAUAGGAAUAGGAAAAUGAAUAAAAUUCAAUUAGCUUAUACUUCUCUGUUACUUGAAUAGGAAAUAUGAUGUGUAUAGCAUAACUGUUGAUGCAUCUGAUACUUUAUGCCAGAGAAAGAUCACUCCUUUUUCUUGGCAAUGGUUGUCACUGUUUUACGUUUUUCUGGUUGUCAUCAUUUUACUUUUUGCAGCAGAGUGAUUAUUUUGAUAGAAAAAAAGGGAGGAAAAGGGGAAAAAACUUGUUAAGGAUAUGAAUGAAAUUCUCGGUUGGGGAUCCAAGUAGCUUUAUAAGCCCCCAUCAAUGUGGUUCCUCAAGCCCAACUAAACACACCUGGCCCGGUAGACAAGCAGCCUGUUUUGGAAAUUUAAUCAUUGAAAUUGGGACUUUGUGUGGUUGGGUGCUUUUGAAAUUUUGUAGUUAUGUUACGAGGUAAGAAUUAAAUAAUAACUAGUAGGUAAGUAUUGAAGAAAACCCGUUGAGGGUGGGGUUCCUUUUGCACCUCCGUUGUUGGCAGCUGAUUUGUUCCAGCUGGGGAGCGGGGGGUGUUUUCUUCUUCUUUGUAUACUUUAAGCCUAUUGAAGAAGCUUAUGUCAUAGUUUAGUAAACUGCUUGAUAGGGAGGUAAUCUAGUUACUAAUUCAUAAUCUAGUUUCUUCCAUUGGAAGUUAGCAUUUAUUUGUCUGGAAAUACUCACCACUAAACAUUGGCAUUUUAUGUGCAUAAAUGCUGGCAUUAUGUGCCCUCUUAAUCCAUGAUGGAAGUGCUUUUUUUUUUUUUUUUCCUUUAAAUAUUACAAUUAAUAAAUAAUUUUUUUUGAUAGGUAACAUCAAAAAGAUUGUUUAUUAAUUUUAUUUUUGUAUCUAUAUAUUUUCCAUGAUGUCAAAUUUAUGUAUACAAGUUUACACCUUGGCAAAAGCUGAGAAAUUCGAAGGCCCAGAUUAUUCUAGUUCCUGUGGACAUUAAUGAAGCUGGUGAACUGCUUUCAGUGAGAUGAUUUAGUUUUCUUCGGAAUUGAAACAAGAGUUUCUUCGGAAGGACAGUCAAGGAAAAAUUAUGUCAUGUUUUAGAAAUUAUUGCUCAUAUUUUAAUGGCCUGAUUUUGAUCUUGCUGAUGGAUUUGAAUGUUUGUUCAGAGGAAACUGAUGGCCUACCAAAGCAGUCAGUGGUACCAGCCCCUGAAGCUGUUGAAUCUCCUGAAACUGUUGUAGCUGCAGAGGAAGUUCAUCAGGUGCCAAUGGUAACAGCAAGCAAACCAAAAUACAGGUAUGGUUACACUUGCUUGUCUGUGCCAUUUGUUUGGUACAUAGACAAGAGAGUAACAUUAUUUUGUAUAUAUAUACUUUCUAGUCUUCUUUCAAGGUUGCCUAGGAGAUUGUAUAUGUUUGCAAUUUCAGUGAUUCAUUAAUACUGUCCAUUAGCAGUUUCAUGAUCAUUAAAUGUAUAACAUAUGUGCAGGCAUGAAUAUUACCAGAAACCACAAGAAGUGGUUGUCACCAUAUUUGCAAAAGGCGUACCAGAUGAAAAUGUUGUUGUUGACUUUGGUGAACAAAUAGUAUGGUUCAUCUCAACUCGAUACUUCUCAUUUUUAUUCUGUUUCAUAGUGACUUUGUGUUUUGUUAUUUAGAUCUUCUUCGUAGACAUUGAUUUGAUGAUUAUGCUAAUUCUUCUUUUUGGUUGCUUUGCAGCUGAGUGUCAGCAUUGAUGUUCCUGGUGAUGUUGCAUAUCAUUUUCAACCUCGCUUAUUUGGAAAGGUAAGGCUCAUAUUUCAUGUUGUUAGAAACUACUUUGUAAAUAAGUUUUAUUGGUACCAAACAUUUAGGAAUGGACUAGUGAUUAUCUAAUGCCCAAGAAUUUCUUUAGAUAUUUGAAGAAGCCUAAAAACAAGAAUGUUUUUGGACAAAACUAAGGAAGUGCAUGUGUAUAUACCUGGCCUAUUGACUUAGAGUAUGAUCUCCCUCUGUUUGUUUCUUGGAAAACUUCAGAAAAGGAAAUAGAUCUUGGUUGUGAAUUGUUUUGCUUCUCUUUCCCUUUUUUUUCCUUGGCAGUAACUGAAGAUAUAUGGAAAAUCCUUCCUUAAGUGCGUUGGUAAAAAAUAAAUAGGGGCUUCAAUCUUUUUUAUUUAAUUUUUUGACUGAAAAGGUUUGGGGUACUCUGAAACAGUUAGACUGUGAGUUCUAAGAAUGAUAGCAAUAUCUGUAACAAGUAUUCUGUUCGUGAUGCUUUAUUUGGAAGGCAAAAUAUUGUGUUCCAUUGGUUGAUCUAGUUUUUGUAGUCUAGUAUUAUAGGAAUAUCUAAUUCAUUUCACUUAUUCUGGAUGCUGAGUUUAUCAUCUGGUGUUUGGUUUUGACAAACAGAUAAUACCCGACAAGUGUAGAUAUGAAGUAUUGUCAACCAAAAUUGAAAUCCGACUUGCAAAAGCUGAAGAAAUUCAUUGGACUUCUCUUGAAUUCAGCAAGGAAAAUACAGUUCCACAGAGGAUAAAUGUAUCUACAAGUAAGUUGUUAGGCUUGUAAACUGCCCUUCUUUUAAUCCACCCAGAGAUUGAGCAGGAGAAGAUUUAAUUACCACCCCCCACCCCAAGUUGCUUCCAAAUUAUGGGUCUAAAAACCAGAACUAGGAUAAAUUAACAGUUGCAGCAAUUUGACAGUGUUUCGAGGUUGAAGACACUGAUAAUCGAUAUAUCAAUUUUCUCUGCUGCUUCUGAAAAUAUAUAUCAUGUUUACUUUCACUUUGUACAGUAGCUCUUUGUUCUUGUCCUGCUUCCUUAAUGCUGAGUUUUCUUCAUAUUUAUCACUGUUGCAAACCGCAACCAUAUAUAUAUAUAUGUAUGUAUGUAUGCAAUUUUUUUUUUCUUUUAUUCUUUUGGGUGUCUGAGUGAUACUGUCUCCUAAAUUGAAACCUCAUUUUAGAGGCCAUGUUUUUGUUUGAUACCAAGUAAACUGAAAAAUUCAUCCUGAAAAUACUAUUCUAUAUCUACAUGGAAAGAAGAACCCAUUGGACACGAUAUCUAUCCAAUGUCAUUUAGUGAGGAUGUUCUUAUGCUUGUGUGUCUAUCCUUGUUAAGCUCACAUCCAGGAUCAUCAGUUUCACAACUCCUGGAUCUGUUUAUACCAUCAAGAUCCAUCAGCCCAGCACACACUUUAUUUGCCCUCCCUCAUCUGUAAAAAACCAUCAAAUUUCAGAACACUCAUGGCAUUCUAUGGAGGACAAGUGCAUCCCUUGAUGUGGUUACUCUCCUUGAUUGCAUGUUGUGGGUCAAUGGAGUAUGUGAAAUGAUUACAUCUAUAAUCCCAUUUUAAGACUUGCAGUCUUCACUUAAUUGCUAGCAAGGGUAGGUUGCUUCCUCAUAAUGCAGUUUUGAGAAUGCAGUCUUCACUUAUUGCUAUCACUAAUAAACAGCAUCCUCAAAAUACAAUUUUUGUUUUUAUAUAGUGUUGCAAUUGGAGAAGAGCACAUAAAAGAAUUGCUGUGUGAUAUUUGCAGCAGUGACAAAUCUCAACAUGGCAAACGCGACAAUAGAUUUGGUAUUUCUUUUGCUUUCGUAACAAUCUGUUGAUGCUUCUCCAAGAUUAUAACAUUUUGGAAGAACAGAGGACAUUGAGUGAUCGAUUAUUAAUGUGUUUGCCUGAAGAGAAUUUGUUAGCUUGAAAAUCUUGACAAUAGAAUUGGUAUUUCUUUUGCUUUUGUAUCAAUAUGUUGAUGCUUCUCCAAGAUUGUAACAUUUUGGAAUAACAGAGGACAUUGAGUGAUUGAUUAUUAAUGUGUUUGCCUAGAGAGGAUUUGUUAGCUUGAAAAUCAUGAUCCUGUUACCAUUUUGCAGCAUAAAGUUUCCUAUCAUGCUA